Paramuricea clavata is the source of this 91-nucleotide non-coding RNA. The record is from the annotation of a GenBank genome assembly. Lineage: Eukaryota; Metazoa; Cnidaria; Anthozoa; Malacalcyonacea; Plexauridae.
AAAUUGGAGGAGUUUGAAUUUUGUAACAGAAGUCACGUAUAGUUACGUGACUUCUGUUACAAAAUUCAAACUCUUCCAAUUUUACUUUAUA